Long non-coding RNA from Lactuca sativa (garden lettuce), 1254 nucleotides. RefSeq lists it as uncharacterized. NCBI's taxonomy places the organism in Eukaryota, Viridiplantae, Streptophyta, Magnoliopsida, Asterales, Asteraceae. The record is from RefSeq and is a predicted model, not a curated record.
CAUGUAUUUUUUGUGCACAAUAGACCAUUAAAGUUAAAUUUUACAUAUCGAUUACACCAUUAUUUAACCUGAUACAGGUAGAACCGGUUAAUUUUAUGAUGUGGCACUAUAAAUUAAAUUUCUUUAUAUCUUUUAAGUCCACGUAAAUUUGGUAUUAGUCAAACAACAAACAUUGACUAAGUCCUUUUGCAUUCAAUACCCUUUAGCUUUUGUUCUUCCAAUUCAAGAGUUAGGCUUCACCUAAAUGGGAACCACCGCCUUCGCCUACUGCCUGGAAUUGAACAUCAACUAUGGUUAUGCCUGAAUCGAAUCAAACCACAAGUCUAGAUCACUAAACUACCUUUCCCCACCGCCUUCUCAUGUUAAACAACUUUCAUCUUCUCCAAGAACUCCGGCUCACCUGAAAACUCAAAGUAAUCGCACUCUGAUUCAAUACAUGCAGCGUUUAUGAGCUCACUGUAAAGGUGACAAAAGCCAACGCAAUCGACGACGAGCUCAGCUUGGAAGCCAUCAGAUAAAGAGAGGGUAGAUCAGAUGUAUCAACAGCGAGUAAGGAGACAGUGGGGUGAGAUGUGGAUGCCUAUUUUAGGGUUGGGGAGAGUUUAGAAGUGAAUCGACCGGAUAGAGCGAAGGUUUUGGAAGCCACAAUUACAAAGCACUGUUAAUCAUGGGUUGCUCUGUGUAUUUGCUUGUGUAUCUGCGGGUAGAGUAGGAUCAGGAGUUUACGUGUGAUUUCUAAUUGUAUUUUGGUUUGUAUCGAUUUUUUUUGCAUUUACAGAUUUUAAGCUCUACCCAACAGUGUCUUCUUGGUCAGAUAAAAGAGACAAUAGACCCACUAGUAUCCGAAGGCAGAGAUGAGUACAGGAGUAGUUAUGAAUGAUGGUUUAAUUAACAAGAAGUCAGAUGGAUUCGGAGAAGGCGGCUAAGUUAAGAAUGCAUAUACAGUCUUCCCAUCUUCUUUUAUGGCUUUUAUAGUAAAGAGGUUUCACGUCGAUGGGAGGCGGUGAGUAACGAUGGCGCGACUUUUGCCAUGGAACGGUGGUAGAAUACAGUUGAGGGAAAAAGAGAUAUGCUUGAGGUUUCUACGUUGAGAGAGAGAGAGAGAGAGAGAGAGAAUGGAAAAAAAAGUGGUAGGUAAAGUUUGGAUUUUUUAUUUUGUAAAAAAUAGUAAAAAGCCACAUGGACUAAGUGUGACCGGUGAAACCAGAAUUAUCUUGGAUGUUUCCUUAUUUAACAGGUCAAUUGAUACUUUAA